Molecule: transfer RNA, 72 nt
Filed under: bacterium D16-51
Lineage: Bacteria
Also listed under: 1 other name
Description: tRNA-Ile
Rfam family: tRNA
About the family: Transfer RNA (tRNA) molecules are approximately 80 nucleotides in length. Their secondary structure includes four short double-helical elements and three loops (D, anti-codon, and T loops).
Source: RNAcentral
GCGCCCUUAGUUCAACGGUUAGAACGCACGUCUUAUAAACGUGUAACACGGUUUCGACUACCGUAGGGCGUA